UGGUGGAGUGAUUUGUCUGGUUAAUUCCGAUAACGAACGAGACUCUUUCCUGCUAAAUAGUUCUUCAACAUUUGUUGCAUUACGUGACUUUAGUUGAGGAAAACUUCUUAGAGGGAUUCGCGAUACAAAAUCGCACGAAAUAGAGCAAUAACA
Molecule: ribosomal RNA, 153 nt
Filed under: uncultured eukaryote
Lineage: Eukaryota
Description: partial 18S ribosomal RNA
Rfam family: Eukaryotic small subunit ribosomal RNA
Source: RNAcentral